AUUGAACGCUGGCGGCAUGCCUUACACAUGCAAGUCGAACGGCAGCACGGAGCUUGCUCUGGUGGCGAGUGGCGAACGGGUGAGUAAUAUAUCGGAACGUACCCUAGAGUGGGGGAUAACGUAGCGAAAGUUACGCUAAUACCGCAUACGAUCUAAGGAUGAAAGUGGGGGAUCGCAAGACCUCAUGCUCGUGGAGCGGCCGAUAUCUGAUUAGCUAGUUGGUAGGGUAAAAGCCUACCAAGGCAUCGAUCAGUAGCUGGUCUGAGAGGACGACCAGCCACACUGGAACUGAGACACGGUCCAGACUCCUACGGGAGGCAGCAGUGGGGAAUUUUGGACAAUGGGCGAAAGCCUGAUCCAGCAAUGCCGCGUGAGUGAAGAAGGCCUUCGGGUUGUAAAGCUCUUUUGUCAGGGAAGAAACGGUGAAAGCUAAUAUCUUUUGCUAAUGACGGUACCUGAAGAAUAAGCACCGGCUAACUACGUGCCAGCAGCCGCGGUAAUACGUAGGGUGCAAGCGUUAAUCGGAAUUACUGGGCGUAAAGCGUGCGCAGGCGGUUUUGUAAGUCUGAUGUGAAAUCCCCGGGCUCAACCCGGGAAUUGCAUUGGAGACUGCAAGGCUAGAAUCUGGCAGAGGGGGGUAGAAUUCCACGUGUAGCAGUGAAAUGCGUAGAUAUGUGGAGGAACACCGAUGGCGAAGGCAGCCCCCUGGGUCAAGAUUGACGCUCAUGCACGAAAGCGUGGGGAGCAAACAGGAUUAGAUACCCUGGUAGUCCACGCCCUAAACGAUGUCUACUAGUUGUCGGGUCUUAAUUGACUUGGUAACGCAGCUAACGCGUGAAGUAGACCGCCUGGGGAGUACGGUCGCAAGAUUAAAACUCAAAGGAAUUGACGGGGACCCGCACAAGCGGUGGAUGAUGUGGAUUAAUUCGAUGCAACGCGAAAAACCUUACCUACCCUUGACAUGGCUGGAAUCCUUGAGAGAUCAGGGAGUGCUCGAAAGAGAACCAGUACACAGGUGCUGCAUGGCUGUCGUCAGCUCGUGUCGUGAGAUGUUGGGUUAAGUCCCGCAACGAGCGCAACCCUUGUCGUUAGUUGCUACGAAAGGGCACUCUAAUGAGACUGCCGGUGACAAACCGGAGGAAGGUGGGGAUGACGUCAAGUCCUCAUGGCCCUUAUGGGUAGGGCUUCACACGUCAUACAAUGGUACAUACAGAGCGCCGCCAACCCGCGAGGGGGAGCUAAUCGCAGAAAGUGUAUCGUAGUCCGGAUUGUAGUCUGCAACUCGACUGCAUGAAGUUGGAAUCGCUAGUAAUCGCGGAUCAGCAUGUCGCGGUGAAUACGUUCCCGGGUCU
This 1352-nucleotide ribosomal RNA is filed under the name uncultured bacterium. RNAcentral's name for it is "bacterial SSU rRNA". It matches the Rfam family "Bacterial small subunit ribosomal RNA", at positions 28 to 1381 of the family's 1533-position model. The record is from RNAcentral.